This 430-nucleotide ribosomal RNA is filed under the name uncultured bacterium. RNAcentral's name for it is "bacterial SSU rRNA". It matches the Rfam family "Bacterial small subunit ribosomal RNA", at positions 28 to 450 of the family's 1533-position model. The record is from RNAcentral.
GAUGAACGCUAGCUACAGGCUUAACACAUGCAAGUCGAGGGGAAACGAUAUUGGAAGCUUGCUUCUGAUAGGCGUCGACCGGCGCACGGGUGAGUAACGCGUAUCCAACCUGCCCAUCACUUGGGGAUAACCUUGCGAAAGUAAGACUAAUACCCAAUGACGUCUCUAGAAGACAUCUGAAAGAGAUUAAAGAUUUAUCGGUGAUGGAUGGGGAUGCGUCUGAUUAGCUUGUUGGCGGGGGUAACGGCCCACCAAACCUACGAUCAGUAGCCGGUCUGAGAGGAUGAACGGCCACACUGGAACUGAGACACGGUCCAGACUCCUACGGGAGGCAGCAGUGGGGAAUCUUCCGCAAUGGGCGAAAGCCUGACGGAGCAACGCCGCGUGAGUGAUGACGGCCUCGGUGUAAGCUCUGUGAUCGGGACGGAAC